RNAcentral lists this ribosomal RNA (243 nucleotides) under uncultured bacterium. RNAcentral describes it as "partial small subunit ribosomal RNA". It matches the Rfam family "Bacterial small subunit ribosomal RNA", at positions 26 to 284 of the family's 1533-position model. The record is from RNAcentral.
AGAGCGAACGCUGGCGGCAGGCCUAACACAUGCAAGUCGCACGAGAAAGGGUAGCAAUACCUGAGUAAAGUGGCGCACGGGUGAGUAACACGUGACUAAUCUACCCUCGAGUGGGGAAUAACUGAGAGAAAUCUCAGCUAAUACCGCAUAACACUUACGAGUCAAAGCAGAAAUGCGCUUGGGGAGGAGGUCGCGGCCGAUUAGCUAGUUGGCGGGUAAUGGCCCACCAAGGCGAUGAUCGGU